Molecule: ribosomal RNA, 492 nt
Filed under: uncultured bacterium
Lineage: Bacteria
Description: partial 16S ribosomal RNA
Rfam family: Bacterial small subunit ribosomal RNA
Source: RNAcentral
GAUGAACGCUCGCUACAGGCUUAACACAUGCAAGUCGAGGGGAAACGACAUCGAAAGCUUGCUUUUGAUGGGCGUCGACCGGCGCACGGGUGAGUAACGCGUAUCCAACCUGCCCACCACUUGGGGAUAACCUUGCGAAAGUAAGACUAAUACCCAAUGAUAUCUCUAGAAGCCAUCUGAAAGAGAUUAAAGAUUUAUCGGUGAUGGAUGGGGAUGCGUCUGAUUAGCUUGUUGGCGGGGUAACGGCCCACCAAGGCAACGAUCAGUAGGGGUUCUGAGAGGAAGGUCCCCCACAUUGGAACUGAGACACGGUCCAAACUCAUAAGGGAGGCAGCAGUGAGGAAUAUUGGGCAAUGGAAGAGAGUCUGAACCAGCCAAGUAGCGUGCAGGAAGACGGCCCUAUGGGUAGUAAACUGCUUUUAGAAGGGAAUAAAGUAAGUCUCGUGAGACUUUUUGCAUGUACCUUAUGAAUAAGGACCGGCUAAUUCCGUG